Molecule: ribosomal RNA, 505 nt
Filed under: uncultured Glomeromycotina
Lineage: Eukaryota; Fungi; Glomeromycota
Description: partial small subunit ribosomal RNA
Rfam family: Eukaryotic small subunit ribosomal RNA
Source: RNAcentral
CCAAUAGCGUAUAUUAAAGUUGUUGCAGUUAAAAAGCUCGUAGUUGAAUUUCGGGAUUGACGUGACGGUCAUGCCUUAAGGGGUAUGAACUGGUGUAGUCAAUUUCUCACCUUCUGGAGAACCGCGAUGUCCUUAAUUGGGUGCCGCGGGGAACCAGGACCUUUACUUUGAAAAAAUUAGAGUGUUUAAAGCAGGCAUUUUGCUUGAAUACAUUAGCAUGGAAUAAUAAAAUAGGACGGAUGAUUCUAUUUUGUUGGUUUCUAGGACCACCGUAAUGAUUAAUAGGGAUAGUUGGGGGCAUUAGUAUUCAAUUGUCAGAGGUGAAAUUCUUGGAUUUAUUGAAGACUAACUACUGCGAAAGCAUUUGCCAAGGAUGUUUUCAUUAAUCAAGAACGAAAGUUAGGGGAUCGAAGACGAUCAGAUACCGUCGUAGUCUUAACCAUAAACUAUGCCGACUAGGAAUCAGACGAUGUUAAUUUUUUAAUGACUCGUUUGGCACCUUACG